GACGAACGCUGGCGGCGUGCCUAACACAUGCAAGUCGAACGGAAACAGCAUGAAGCUUGCUUUGAGCUGUUUUAGUGGCGGACGGGUGAGUAACGCGUGAGUAACCUGCCUUUCAGAGGGGGAUAACGUCUGGAAACGGACGCUAAUACCGCAUGAUAUAUUUUGGUCGCAUGGCCGGGAUAUCAAAGGAGCAAUCCGCUGAAAGAUGGACUCGCGUCCGAUUAGCUAGUUGGUGAGAUAAAGGCCCACCAAGGCGACGAUCGGUAGCCGGACUGAGAGGUUGAACGGCCACAUUGGGACUGAGACACGGCCCAGACUCCUACGGGAGGCAGCAGUGGGGGAUAUUGCACAAUGGAGGAAACUCUGAUGCAGCAACGCCGCGUGAGGGAAGACGGUUUUCGGAUUGUAAACCUCUGUCCUUGGUGACGAAAAAAAUGACGGUAGCCAAGGAGGAAGCUCCGGCUAACUACGUG
This 473-nucleotide ribosomal RNA is filed under the name uncultured bacterium. RNAcentral describes it as "bacterial SSU rRNA". It matches the Rfam family "Bacterial small subunit ribosomal RNA", at positions 28 to 507 of the family's 1533-position model. The record is from RNAcentral. RNAcentral also lists the same sequence under 1 other name.